This 435-nucleotide ribosomal RNA is filed under the name uncultured Ruminococcus sp. RNAcentral's name for it is "partial 16S ribosomal RNA". It matches the Rfam family "Bacterial small subunit ribosomal RNA", at positions 341 to 792 of the family's 1533-position model. Lineage: Bacteria; Bacillati; Bacillota; Clostridia; Eubacteriales; Oscillospiraceae. The record is from RNAcentral.
ACGGAAGGCAGCAGUCGGGAAUAUUGCGCAAUGGAGGAAACUCUGACGCAGUGACGCCGCGUAUAGGAAGAAGGUUUUCGGAUUGUAAACUAUUGUCAUUAGGGAAGAUAAAAGACUGUACCUAAAGAGGAAGCUCCGGCUAACUACGUGCCAGCAGCCGCGGUAAUACGUAGGGAGCAAGCGUUAUCCGGAAUUACUGGGUGUAAAGGGAGUGUAGGCGGGACUGUAAGUCAGAUGUGAAAUAUACCGGCUCAACUGGUAGACUGCAUUUGAAACUGCGGUUCUUGAGUGAAGUAGAGGUAAGCGGAAUUCCUAGUGUAGCGGUGAAAUGCGUAGAUAUUAGGAGGAACAUCAGUGGCGAAGGCGGCUUACUGGGCUUUAACUGACGCUGAGGCUCGAAAGCGUGGGGAGCAAACAGGAUUAGAUACCCUGGUA